Long non-coding RNA from Rhagoletis zephyria (snowberry fruit fly), 151 nucleotides. RefSeq lists it as uncharacterized. Lineage: Eukaryota; Metazoa; Arthropoda; Insecta; Diptera; Tephritidae. The record is from RefSeq and is a predicted model, not a curated record.
UAGUUUUUUAGAUUUUUUUUGUGUUUUUGUAAUAAUUUUCAAAGUUUUUGAUUUAGUUAACCGCCACCGUAUAGUUGUUGGUAAUGAUUUUUGGUCUCGAAAUUAAGUUCAGUUCAUUUCACGCUUUUUUUUUUCUUUUACGUACUUUUCG